Molecule: microRNA precursor, 124 nt
Filed under: Hordeum vulgare
Lineage: Eukaryota; Viridiplantae; Streptophyta; Magnoliopsida; Poales; Poaceae
Description: microRNA MIR1122
Rfam family: MIR1120/MIR1122 microRNA precursor family
Source: RNAcentral
UAACUACUCCCUCUAUACGGAAAUACUUGUCGAAAAGUGGAUGUAUCUAAAAAUAUUUUCAUUCUAUAUACAUUCAUUUUUAUCCAUCUACCUGACUAGUAUUUCCGUAAGGAGGGAGUAUUUA